This 1991-nucleotide long non-coding RNA is filed under the name Medicago truncatula (barrel medic). RNAcentral describes it as "lncRNA gene3992". The record is from RNAcentral. Lineage: Eukaryota; Viridiplantae; Streptophyta; Magnoliopsida; Fabales; Fabaceae.
AACAAAAACUCCAAAAAGCUCAUAAAUAGACAAUUUAAACCCAAAACUUUAGUUCACUGAUAUCCUAUUGUCAUAACAAUAUCAAAUAGAAAUGGAGCAUUUAAAUAGUUCCAGUAAAACAAGCAAAAGUUUGCAUUAAAAGAUAGAGGGGCAUCGAUGACGAUCUUCACUUGAGAGGAAUAAACCUGGAGGAGUGAGUGGCACCAAUACCAGGCCUACCAUGCUUAACAGGCUUGUAAGAGAUUGAGAAUUCAGCCAAAUAGUGACCAAUCAUUUCAGGCUUAAUUUCAACUUGGUUGAAGGUCUUUCCAUUGUAGACACCAAUGAUGCUACCGAUCAUCUCAGGUACAAUGAUCAUGUUACGGAGGUGAGUCCUCACAGGUUCUGGCUUCUCACCAGGUGGAGCUUCUCUUUUCUGUCACAAUAUACAGAGUGUGAUUAAAAUGAACACAGCAUUACCUCAAACAACGUGGGUACACAAUCAUACAGACCAUAUCUAAAGUUUAAAAUGAUACCCAAUGAUACACAAAUUGGGUACACAAGCCUACAGACCACAGUUAUUGAAUUAAACUGACUUGUAAUUAAAAUCAAACACAACAUUGCCCAACACAACUUGUUAGAUACACAAUGAACAUAGGUAAAAUUUAAAAUGAUACACAAUGAUUAUUGAAACAAGUCACGAUUAAUAAAAUAACAGCAGCCGAAUGUAUCUGUUAAUGAGAUAUUCGUGACCAUAUAUCUUUUAAUUUCAAAUGUUUACCCCCAGAUUUAAGAUAGUGUAUUGUUGACAAAUGAUGUAAGAAAAAAAAAAAAAUCUAGAGCAAGUAAAGAGGGUGCUCAGAAAGUAAUGAAUGGAUAUGAGAGUUAUCCUCAUAAUAAAUCAGAUUAACGAGAUUAUUUCAUAACAUCAUCACAGCACCCAGAAAAUUCGAAGGCAAAUGCAAACAAACUAUAAUAUAUUUAUCGCAGAUCAAUGGUGAUUAUCAAAUCAAUCCAUCCCCUAAACCCUAAACAAUUUCCAAAUUGCUCACCAUUAGAACAUUACUCUACUUUUUUUAACAAAUCCUACAAUUUUCCAAAUUCCUUUUACAACUCUAACCACUAAAAUGAAUUAAUUCCCUGAAUUAACAAAUUGACUGAACAAUUACAUAAAUAAAUAGAUAACUCACCGCCUUGCGGAGCUUCUUGAUGAGUGCCAUAGGUUUGCGGGUCAAACCACGUUGAAACCUGAAAUGAACAUGUUGUUAAAUGUAAAUGUGAAAAUGAGACAUGGAUUUCAAAAGAAAUUAACGAGUCCUUAAUAUGAAUAAUAUAAUAGAAGUAGUAGAUACAUAAACAACGAACAAAACAAAAAUAAUACAUAAAAAUCAAAUCUUCAAACUCAUUUCAUCACAUUUCGUCAAAAGUUUACCUAGAUCUGAUGCUAAUAUAUCUAUUAAUCCCAUAAAAUAAAACAAAAUGAAAUAAGUAACCUAAAAUAAUUAACAUAUUGGCAAAUAACCCAAAAAUGAAGAAAAUGGUGCUCAGAAAGUAAUGAAUGGAUAUGAAAAUUAUCUGCAUAAUAAAUCAGAUUAACGAGAUUAUUUCACUUAAUCAUCACAGCACCAUCUUCCUUGAUUCAUAUAUUCAAAUUAAAAUGAAAAACAAACGAAUAUCAAUUAAAUUCAAAAGUAUACCUUCUACGUGCACGAGAAGAGAAAAGCUUGACAAGUUCAUCAGUGGACAUAUCCAAGAGAGCAUCGAGAUCAACACCACGGAAACUGAACUUCUUAAAUGUUCUCUUCUUUGGCACUCCUUGUGCUGCUACCUCUGGUUCAACAUCCGCCUGAAAAAUCAAUCAAAUUCAUCAUUCAAAUUCAACAAUGCGAAAUUAACAGUAGAAGAAGAAGAGUGAAUCGAAGAGAAAGAGAAAGAGAUAGGGUUAGGGUUUUCACCAUGAUUGCAGUGAAACUUGCUCGAUCUGGUUCUUGCUCGCGGCUGCUUCUCACCUC